RNAcentral lists this ribosomal RNA (497 nucleotides) under uncultured bacterium. RNAcentral's name for it is "partial 16S ribosomal RNA". It matches the Rfam family "Bacterial small subunit ribosomal RNA", at positions 28 to 507 of the family's 1533-position model. The record is from RNAcentral.
GACGAACGCUGGCGGCGUGCCUAAUACAUGCCAGUUGAGCGCUGAAGGUUGGUACUUGUACCAACUGGAUGAGCAGCGAACGGGUGAGUAACGCGUGGGGAAUCUGCCUUUGAGCGGGGGACAACAUUUGGAAACGAAUGCUAAUACCGCAUAAAAACUUUAAACACAAGUUUUAAGUUUGAAAGAUGCAAUUGCAUCACUCAAAGAUGAUCCCGCGUUGUAUUAGCUAGUUGGUGAGGUAAAGGCUCACCAAGGCGAUGAUACAUAGCCGACCUGAGAGGGUGAUCGGCCACAUUGGGACUGAGACACGGCCCAAACUCCUACGGGAGGCAGCAGUAGGGAAUCUUCGGCAAUGGACGAAAGUCUGACCGAGCAACGCCGCGGGAGUGAAGAAGGUUUUCGGAUCGUAAAACUCUGUUGGUAGAGAAGAACGUUGGUGAGAGUGGAAAGCUCAUCAAGUGACGGUAACUACACAGAAAGGGACGGCUAACUACGUG